This is a non-coding RNA of Chiloscyllium plagiosum (whitespotted bambooshark), 319 nucleotides long. Lineage: Eukaryota; Metazoa; Chordata; Chondrichthyes; Orectolobiformes; Hemiscylliidae. The record is from RefSeq and is a predicted model, not a curated record.
UGAUUAUGUUGUUUAAGAACAAAACCCAGGGCAAAAUCAUGUAAAUUAAUUUGUUUAAAAACAAAAAUGAGACAGAGAUUUCUGAAUAUAUCUUAAUACCAUUUUUAUUACUGCUUGCGACUGCCUAGGAAAUUGGAAUGUAAAAGCAGCAGUAAAAAGUAUUCUUUGCACAGACAUGAAGCUGAUCUUCUGAUCAUGAUCAAACAAGUGUUAUGAUCAGUUCAAGAGUCUUGCUUCAAUCUUAUGAGAUAUUAAUGCUGCCUAUAUGACAGUCUCCUAUGUUAGAGAGAAGGAGAAAGAGAGGCGACCUGAUCGAGGU